Molecule: ribosomal RNA, 999 nt
Filed under: Pantoea agglomerans
Lineage: Bacteria; Pseudomonadati; Pseudomonadota; Gammaproteobacteria; Enterobacterales; Erwiniaceae
Description: bacterial SSU rRNA
Rfam family: Bacterial small subunit ribosomal RNA
Source: RNAcentral
AUUGACGUACCCGCAGAAGAAAGCCCCGGCUAACUCCCGUGCCAGCAGCCGCGGUAAUUCGGAGGGGUGCAAGCGGUUAAUCGGAUUACUGGGCGUAAAGCGCACGCAGGGCGGUCUGUCAAGUCGGAUGUGAAAUCCCCCGGGCUCAACCUGGGAACUGCAUUCGAAACUGGCAGGCUAGAGUCUUGUAGAGGGGGGUAGAAUUCCAGGUGUAGCGGUGAAAUGCGUAGAGAUCUGGAGGAAUACCGGUGGCGAAGGCGGCCCCCUGGACAAAGACUGACGCUCAGGUGCGAAAGCGUGGGGAGCAAACAGGAUUUAGAUACCCUGGUAGUCCACGCCGUAAACGAUGUCGACUUGGAGGUUGUGCCCUUGAGGCGUGGCUUCCGGAGCUAACGCGUUAAGUCGACCGCCUGGGGAGUACGGCCGCAAGGUUAAAACUCAAAUGAAUUGACGGGGGCCCGCACAAGCGGUGGAGCAUGUGGUUUAAUUCGAUGCAACGCGAAGAACCUUACCUACUCUUGACAUCCAGAGAACUUAGCAGAGAUGGUUUGGUGCCUUCGGGAACUCUGAGACAGGUGCUGCAUGGCUGUCGUCAGCUCGUGUUGUGAAAUGUUGGGUUAAGUCCCGCAACGAGCGCAACCCUUAUCCUUUGUUGCCAGCGGUUCGGCCGGGAACUCAAAGGAGACUGCCAGUGAUAAACUGGAGGAAGGUGGGGAUGACGUCAAGUCAUCAUGGCCCUUACGAGUAGGGCUACACACGUGCUACAAUGGCGCAUACAAAGAGAAGCGACCUCGCGAGAGCAAGCGGACCUCAUAAAGUGCGUCGUAGUCCGGAUUGGAGUCUGCAACUCGACUCCAUGAAGUCGGAAUCGCUAGUAAUCGUAGAUCAGAAUGCUACGGUGAAUUUUUUUUUGGGCCUUGUACACACCGUAAGGCACACCAAGGCAGUCGUUGAUUUAGAUCCAGCCUCGCUCUAGUCGUAAGCUAAGGGGAACCGGCU